This 543-nucleotide long non-coding RNA is filed under the name Heterocephalus glaber (naked mole-rat). RNAcentral describes it as "lncRNA (ENSHGLG00100048208.1)". The record is from RNAcentral. Lineage: Eukaryota; Metazoa; Chordata; Mammalia; Rodentia; Bathyergidae.
AGGGAAGCAGGACUUCAUGAUUCAAACUGCCAUCUAUGAAGUGACCUUUGGUACUUUUUCCUUUGACUGCGGGCAUUUGAAACAGGUAAUGCCAUUGUGCCCGGGAGACUCAAGUUACACAUCUUUAUCAGACUCCUGGUUUCUGGACAUUUUAACUGAGCAGGAUCUCACUAUGCAGUCCAGGCUGGCCUUGAUCUUGAGGUGAUCUUCCUGCCUCAGCCUACUGAGUGCUGGGAUUACAGGCAUGCACCACUAUACCUGGCAAGCCACUACUCAUUAUGUAGCCCAUACUGGCUUUGAACUUGUACUCCUGAUGCCUCAGGUUCCCAAGAGCUGGUAUUACAGACACUUCCAGAUGUACCCUGUUCUGAGAAGACUUGGAUCAUAGUACAGCCUGUCCUGUGUCAAAUAGGUGAACACGACUUCUGCUAAGACUUGUGCUUGAGGGUCUGUGCUGUAUGGCCUCACUUAAUAAAAUUUGUAUUAGCACACAUCACUGAGCAAAUGACUCCCUUUAUUUAUAUGACACAUGGAGACUAGCAA